AUGGCGGCAAAGAAACAUCUCUUUCGCUUCGGGUCUUUCGCGAUAAGGGACGGGUCAGAGGUUCGUUUCUGGGAAGACAUCUGGCUAGGCAAUGCCAGUCUUCGAGAACAAUAUCCAGCCCUGUACAACAUUGCUCGCGAAAAGAAUAAUACUAUUGCGCAAGUGCUCAGUUCAUCCCCACUCAAUAUUUCAUUUAGGCGGGAUUUGAUUGGCCCCCGACUUAUGUCAUGGCACAAUCUUUUAUCCCGUCUGGAUUCGAUUAAUAUUAGACAAGGCCGGGAUGUGUUUCGCUGGAACCUUACUACAUCAGGGUCAUUCACAGUAGACUCUAUGUACCGUGCACUCAUGCAUUCUGAGGUACCGGUGAGUAAUAACAAGAAAAUCUGGAAGUCGAAGAUUCCACUAAAAGUUAAAAUCUUCAUGUGGUAUCUUCGUAGGGGAGUUGUUCUAACCAAAGACAACCUCGCACGACGCAACUGGCCAGGGAGUAAGAAGUGUUGUUUUUGUACUCAUGAAAAGACAAUCAAACACCUCUUUUUCCAAUGCAAGUUUGCACAUACUACGUGGUCAAUCAUCCAAAUAGCGUCAAAUUUGUAUCCGCCCACAAGUGUCGCCAAUAUUUUUGGUCACUGGUUGGACGGUAUUCCAAAUAGAUUUAAAACGCUAAUACGGGUGGGAGCAUACGCCUUACUAUGGUCGCUUUGGCUAUGUAGAAAUGAUUUGGUUUUCAAUGAUAAAAAUGCUUCUCCUUUGCAGGUUAUUUUUCGUUGUACGCACUCGCUUCGUACGUGGUCUACGCUACAAUGA
This 807-nucleotide ribosomal RNA is filed under the name Triticum aestivum (bread wheat). RNAcentral's name for it is "partial small subunit ribosomal RNA". The record is from RNAcentral. Lineage: Eukaryota; Viridiplantae; Streptophyta; Magnoliopsida; Poales; Poaceae.